Molecule: ribosomal RNA, 497 nt
Filed under: uncultured bacterium
Lineage: Bacteria
Description: partial 16S ribosomal RNA
Rfam family: Bacterial small subunit ribosomal RNA
Source: RNAcentral
GAUGAACGCUGGCGGCGUGCCUAAUACAUGCAAGUCGAGCGAACAGAUGAGGAGCUUGCUCCUCUGACGUUAGCGGCGGACGGGUGAGUAACACGUGGGUAACCUACCUAUAAGACUGGGAUAACUUCGGGAAACCGGAGCUAAUACCGGAUAACAUUUGGAACCGCAUGGUUCUAUAGUGAAAGAUGGUUUUGCUAUCACUUAUAGAUGGACCCGCGCCGUAUUAGCUAGUUGGUAAGGUAACGGCUUACCAAGGCGACGAUGCGUAGCCGACCUGAGAGGGUGAUCAGCCACACUGGAACUGAGACACGGUCCAGACUCCUACGGGAGGCAGCAGUAGGGAAUCUUCCGCAAUGGGCGAAAGCCUGACGGAGCAACGCCGCGUGAGUGAUGAAGGGUUUCGGAUCGUAAAACUCUGUUAUUAGGGAAGAACAAAUGUGUAAGUAACUAUGCACGUCUUGACGGUACCUAAUCAGAAAGCCACGGCUAACUACGUG